UUUGCUUCUCCUAUUCUUUAUAGAUAGAUAUGUGACCAUCGGCCCACACGAUAUUAACUCAAUUUUUUAAGGGGGAAGGUCCAUUAUGGUAGCUUGCUAUUCGGUCCUUCAUGCGUCGCCUAAGCUUUGCACUACAACCCAAGCCUGGCGCACCCCUC
Molecule: small nuclear RNA, 158 nt
Filed under: Nicotiana attenuata
Lineage: Eukaryota; Viridiplantae; Streptophyta; Magnoliopsida; Solanales; Solanaceae
Description: snRNA U2
Rfam family: U2 spliceosomal RNA
About the family: U2 is a small nuclear RNA (snRNA) component of the spliceosome (involved in pre-mRNA splicing). Complementary binding between U2 snRNA (in an area lying towards the 5' end but 3' to hairpin I) and the branchpoint sequence (BPS) of the intron results the bulging out of an unpaired adenosine, on the BPS, which initiates a nucleophilic attack at the intronic 5' splice site, thus starting the first of two transesterification reactions that mediate splicing.
Source: Rfam by way of RNAcentral